Molecule: ribosomal RNA, 754 nt
Filed under: uncultured organism
Description: bacterial SSU rRNA
Rfam family: Bacterial small subunit ribosomal RNA
Source: RNAcentral
GUUGAUCCUGGCUCAGGAUGAACGCUGGCGGUCUGCUUAACACAUGCAAGUCGAACGCAACCUUCGGGUUGAGUGGCGGACGGGUGAGUAACGCGUGAGAAUCUGCCUUGGGGUCGGGGACAACCACUGGAAACGGUGGCUAAUACCGGAUAAGCCUUUGGGUAAAAGAUUUAUUGCCCCAAGAGGAGCUCGCGUCUGAUUAGCUAGUUGGUGAGGUAAGAGCUCACCAAGGCAGCGAUCAGUAGCUGGUCUGAGAGGACGAUCAGCCACACUGGGACUGAGACACGGCCCAGACUCCUACGGGAGGCAGCAGUGGGGAAUUUUCCGCAAUGGGCGAAAGCCUGACGGAGCAAGACCGCGUGAGGGAGGAAGGCUCUUGGGUUGUAAACCUCUUUUCUCAGGGAAGAAGCUCUGACGGUACCUGAGGAAUCAGCCUCGGCUAACUCCGUGCCAGCAGCCGCGGUAAUACGGAGGAGGCAAGCGUUAUCCGGAAUUAUUGGGCGUAAAGCGUCCGCAGGUGGCGAUUCAAGUCUGCUGUCAAAGCACGGGGCUUAACUCCGUUAAGGCAGUGGAAACUGAAUAGCUAGAGUGCCGUAGGGGUAGAGGGAAUUCCCGGUGUAGCGGUGAAAUGCGUAGAGAUCGGGAAGAACAUCGGUGGCGAAAGCGCUCUACUGGACGGCAACUGACACUCAGGGACGAAAGCUAGGGAAGCGAAUGGGAUUAGAUACCCCAGUAGUCCUAGCUGUAAACGAUG